Molecule: unclassified non-coding RNA, 603 nt
Filed under: Hevea brasiliensis (rubber tree)
Lineage: Eukaryota; Viridiplantae; Streptophyta; Magnoliopsida; Malpighiales; Euphorbiaceae
Source: RNAcentral
GGGAUAUACAGGAAACAGGCAUAUUGCUAGAGUCAACACUGGCCAAAAAAAAAAAGAAAGAAGUGUCUGCCACAGUGGAUGCCGUUUUACAAAUGUCCAUGCAAAGAAGGCAUCAUUUUCUGAAAAUACUUGAUCAGGGAAGAUCUCUAAAUGAGCUGGCCAGGUAGACAACUUUUUCUUUCCAGGACGAACCGUUUUCACCACACGAUCACAGCGCACUAAAAGAUUCUUUCUUAAUAGAGUAUUAGCAAUCUCUUCAACCUCUAUAUUUUUAUUUGAUUCCAAUAUAUCUUUGAGCUCUUGAUGAUUUUUCAAGAAAUUUACGAAAUCCUUCCCUCUAAAGUAUUCGACACGAGUCUCCUGCAAAACAGCCCAUCGAGAAACCAAACCUUUGUGGUCUCUCACCUUCUCAGCAAACAACUGAAACACAUCCUUCUUUGGAGAUUGUCUCCUAGGAGGGGUAUCGGAAUUGGGAUCUCUGGUGCCGUUUUGCACGGCUGCUGAUGAUCUUCGCACCCUUUUCUUCUCUGCUCCUCCUGAUUUCUUCAUCUCUUCCUCUCACUCACUCUUUCUCUCUCUCUCCUUCUUUCUCUUCUUUAUGAU